Molecule: long non-coding RNA, 395 nt
Filed under: Mus caroli (Ryukyu mouse)
Lineage: Eukaryota; Metazoa; Chordata; Mammalia; Rodentia; Muridae
Description: lncRNA (MGP_CAROLIEiJ_G0003459.1)
Source: RNAcentral
GCGUGAAGGAGUGAGCUCGCCAAGCACAACCAGCAGGGAUGAAAGGCUAAGUCAGUGAACAACAGAAAGACAGACAGACUUCUGAACAGACACACCGACCAGCAGAAACCACUGGGGAAAGCAACAGUCAGCCAGUGUGACUGACUUAGAGUCCCAAACAGCUGUCUUCUUCUGGGGACAACAAAGAGAGGUGGCUCAACAUGCAAGCAUGGGAACUAGAGUCUCAAAACUUCGAGAAUCCACCUAAACCUGAGUGUGGUGGUGCAUGGCUCUAAUCCCUGUUUACAGCGGUGCCCAUCCUGCCUCUCCUGGGUGUGUGGUCUGCAAACAGGAACGUCUUCUGAGUAUGCACGGUUCACUCUUCUAUGAGUACCAGCAUCUUCCGCCUUCAAUAA